RNAcentral lists this long non-coding RNA (12408 nucleotides) under Olea europaea subsp. europaea. The record is from RNAcentral. Lineage: Eukaryota; Viridiplantae; Streptophyta; Magnoliopsida; Lamiales; Oleaceae.
CAAAUAGAGGAAAACAAAAAGAUUGCAUGGAAUAUUUUUCUUAUUCAUUUCAUAACUCCUAAACAGAGUUUUAUUUAACAGAAACACUAACAAUAUUCCUAAAACCAAGCCAAUGAAUUCAAAAAUAAAACAGUAGCAACAAAAUCCUAUAGACUAUGUCUUUUAUCACCAGCUAAGUUCCUUUAUUCCAGCAUGUUCGACAUGUACAGCAGCUUUUUAUGGCAAUCUGUUAACACUCCUCGUUGCCUUAAUAGCUGUAGAGAUCCAAUUUGUUUCUUAACUCUUCUAAUCCAACUUUGAUAAGGAUUUGGUAAAUAUUACGCCACUUGAUUCUCAGUUCUGCAAUAAAGCAGAUUAACCUCCCCCUUUUCUGCACUUUUCUUAGGUAAUAUAACUUAAUGUUGAGGUGCUUAGUCUUCCAAUGAAAAACAUAAUUAUUUGCCAUUGAAAUUGCAGCUUGAUUGUCUAUAUGAACCUGUGUAGGCUUAUCCUGCUCUAUGUAUAAAUCUACAAGCAAUUUUUUGAUCCAGAUUGCUUGAUUCACCACAGCAAUUGCUACUACAUACUCGGCUUCUACUGUACUUUGAGCCACUAUGUCUCGUUUCUUUGAACCCCAUGUGAACAUUCCUGAUGUAAAAUUGAAAUAGAAACUAGUUGUACUCCUCAUAUCAUCAACAGAACCGGCCCAGUCAUUAUCAGUAAAUCCAUGAAACAUAAAAUUCUAACAGUAACUGUAUUUGAUGCCAUAGUUCAUUGUCCCUAUGAUAUAUCUUAGGACACUCUUUGCAGCUUGAAAAUGUACUUCAUUGCCACCAUGCAAGAAUCUUGAAAGUAAACUCACAGCAAACAUGAUGUCAGGUCUAGUUGCUGUAAAUACAUUAGGCAACCAAUCAAGGUUCUGUAGAGUCCUUCGUCAACCUUGUUUGCUCCAUCAUUCUUUCUAAACUUCUCCUUUUAAUUCAAUGGUGUACUUGUACUCUUGCAAUCUUCCAUAUGAAAUUUUUUAAGUACUUCCUUUGCACAUUUCUUUUGACAUAUGAAGACUCCAUCAUGACUUUGCUUCACUUCCAUUCCCACAAAAUAGGACAUCAACCCAAGAUCUAUCAUCUCAGGCUUUGAGCAUUUCAGCUUAAAAUUCUUGUAUCAGCUUUUCAUCGCUGCCUGUUACAAGUAAAUCAUCAACAUAAAUAAAAAGUAAUAUCACAUUAGCAUCUGCUCCUUUUAUAUACAAGGUGACCUCAAUUGGACUUUUAACAAAGUGAAGAGUUUCCAAGUGUUCAUCAAUCUUGCUAUACGAAGCUCUAGGAGCCUAUUUAAGACUAUACAAUGCUUUCUUUAACAAGUGGACCUUCUCCUCUUGUCCUUUGACUUGAAAACCCUCGGCUACUCUACAAAUAUCUCCUCCUGCAAAUAACCAUUUAAAAAGGCAAAUUUUACAUUCAAGUGGUAAACAUUCUGUUGAUAUUUAUUUGUCACUUUUGUUGUCAUAUUUUGUAGUACUCUUUAUAUUAAAAGUCAAGUCCAUGUAAUGUUAUUUUUGGUACUUAAUCUAUCAUUUACAGCAUGAUUUUUUUAAUAUGUCAACAAGUAAAGUAUAGUAAGUAAGAGUGGUUGACUAGAAGUAUGGUUGAAAUCUAUUGUAUUAUAUAUCAGUAUGGCGGCUUGUUUUGUAUGUAUGAAGAACUCUUUUUCAUCUCAAAAUAUAUCUAUUUUUCUUCAUCUUUAAAAUAUAUAUCCUUCAGUGGUAUCAAAGCUAUCUAAGUGAUCUUAGAGGCAAAAAAAAAACAGGUAGAAAGAUAGGAAAAAAGAGAAAACAAGAGAGGUAACUUUUAACUCAAUUUUAAAUAUUCAGCUGUGUACUUUUUCAAAGGCAAGAAGGAGAUGGUUUCAACCGGUUUUUCAGCUCCAUUACCAUCAGUUUUCACAGGAGAAAACUAUGAUUUCUGGGCUGCUAAAAUGAAAGUCUACCUCAAAACUUAUGAUCUGUGGGAAAUUACUGAAAUUGGAUCUGAACCUGAUGCGAACCCGAUCAGCAAGGUUGCAAUCGAACCCACAGGAUAUUGAAUCGAAUCCCAAAAACGUCAAUAUGACCAAGGUUUAUGGAUCUGACCCCAAAAUAGUGAACCAAGCAACCCAAGAAGAACGUUGCUUUAAAGACCUCUUGAUCACACAAUUGAAGAAAUCACACCCGGAUUGUGGAUUUGAACCAAUAAAAGAUGAACCAAAAAAUCCAACGGUAACGUUGACGCGAAAGACCCCUUGAUUACACAAUUCAAUGAUUCAAUCCAAUAUUUUGAACGCCACAAGAUGAUUAGUCUUGAUAAGUUCGCCUCAUUCAAUUUAAUGAACAAAAUAAAUUUGAAGCAAAGCUUCGAAGAGGAAAAUCUCUCAUUAAUUCAUAAUCAAACUUAUUCCAAUGAAUCAUAAAACUCCUAUUUAUGCUAAAGAAUAUAAAACCUAAUUUAAAAAGGAAUAAACUCCUAAAAUAUUGUAAAACACGAAAUUAGAGUCCUAAUAAUAUUAAAGUUACCAAAAAUAAGAAAUUGACUCAAAACAAAUCUUCUCGCACGGAAAGGAAAAUUUCUGGCCGAAAAUCACCUAUGCGACUGCGACGUGUAUUUAGCUGCGAUCGCAUGGCAUAUGGACUGCUGCCCGUGAAAUCCCUGCACCCUCUCAUGCGGCCGCACGGACCAUGCAGUCGCAUGGUUACUUGGUUUUUGCUCCAAACUCGAUUUUCUUCCAACAACUUGAUUCAAUUGGUUUUCAUCCUUCAACCUCAAUACAAAUCCUAGACUUUGGCUUGUUGACUCCACCAUAUCGAAAUCCAUAACUCGACUAUGUAUUUAUACGGGUUUGUUGGCCCGAACGAAGCUUGAAUCUUGUCCUUAGGUUCCCUCCAACAUACAUCAAAUCCUUGGUCGUUUGGCGCCCAAGCCGAAUCACAUCAGAACCUCCUCCACUCAGGACCAAUCCAACUAUAGCUCAACUCAAGCAACAUAGUGAGGAAUUUGCAAAGAAGUUCAAGGCACUCUCUUGCAUUCAGUUAGUCGUGUCUGAUGCAAUAUUCACUAAAAUUAUCACCUGUGAGACGGCUAAGGAAGCAUGGGACAGGCUGCAAGAGGAAUUCAGGGGAAAUGCUAGGACUAGACAGAUGCAAGUCCUGAACUUGAGAAGAGAAUAUGAAAGCCUGAAGAUGAAGGAGUCAGAAACAGUUAAGGAUUUUUCUGACCGGCUGAUGAAGGUUGUGAACAAAAUAAGGUUGCUAGGAGAUGAUCUACCUAAUAGGAGAAUAGUGGAAAAGGUAUUGAUAAGCUUACCAGAAAAAUUUGAGGCUAAGAUAUCGUCACUUGAGGAUUCAAGAGAUCUUUCAUCCAUAACUCUAGCUGAACUGGUAAAUGCUCUUCAUGCCACUGAACAGAGGAGGCUGUUGAGGCAAGAAGAACAGGUCGAGGGAGCCUUGUUUGCUAAGAGAAAGUACAAAGCACAAGCAAGUCUUGGUAUGAAAAAGGCAGGACUUGAGAAAAAGAAGGUAGAGGGCAGCAAGUCUGCUGAUAAGACCAGUUCAUAUCCACCGUGUCCUCAUUGCAAAAAGUCUGGACACUCACCCAAAUGGUGCUAGUAUAGACCAAGAGUCCAGUAUCGAAAUUGCAAGCAAUUUGGUCAUGUGCAAAAGGUGUGUAAAUCACAAAAAGAAAAGCAGGACAAGCAGCAGGCUCAAAUGGCAAAUGAUCAGUUGCAACACCAGGAGGAGCACCUCUUCACUGCCAAUAAUUUCAAAGCCUGCAGCAGUGAUAAAACAUGGCUACUAGAUAGUGGUUGCACACACCAUAUGGUAUCUAAUUCAAGCACCUUUGUUGAAUUAAACCGAACAUACAAAUCAAGGGUAAGAGUAGGCAAUGGAGAUUAUGCAGAAGUAGAAGGGAUUGGAGUGAUUGCUGUACACACUCCAUUAGGUAUGAAACAUGUUUCUGAUGUCAUAUAUGUGCCUAAUAUUGACCAAAACUUAGUGAGUGUAGGUCAAUUAAUUGAAAAGAACUACACAUUGAUAUUCAAAAAUGCUGGUUGCACCAUAUUUGAUCCCAUUGGAAAUGAGUUAAUGUCAAUACAAAUGAAGCAAAGAAGUUUCCCACUAGAUUGGAAUAAUGUGACAUCUUAUGCAUAUACUGGCAGUGAGUUAGAGUCUACUCUAUGGCACAAACGUUUUGGACAUGUUUACACCUCACUCAAGCAAUUAAACCAACUUGAACUGGUUGAAAAUCUGCCAAACAUAUGUGAUGAAGGGUGUGUUUGUAAAGUGUGCCAAUUGAGAAAGCUGACCAGGAUGUCUUUUCCUAAAAAUCAAUAAAAAAGAGCUUCAAUUAAACUGGAAUUGGUUCACUUAAAUGUGUGUGGUCCAAUGAAAACACAAACUCCAAAUGGUAAUCGAUAUUUUGUGCUCUUUAUUGAUGAUUUAACUAGGAUGACUUGGAUGUUUUUUCUGAAAAUGAAGUCUGAAGUGGCUGCUGUAUUUCAAAAAUUCAAAAGGCAGGUGGAAAAUGAAUGUGACAGUAAGAUAAAAGCCAUAAGAAGUGAUAAUGGGACCGAGUACAAGUGUGAGCAAUUUGAUAAAUUUUGUGAUGAUGUGGGGAUCAAACACCAAUUGACCAUUUCUUAUUCUCCUCAGCAGAAUGGGGUAUGUGAGAGGAAGAAUAGAACCAUAAUGGAAAUGGCUAGGUGCUUGAUGCUUGAAAAGAAUGUACCUCAUGAGUUUUGGGCAAAGGCAGUGAAUACAGCAGUGUAUUUGCUGAACAGGUUGCCAACAAAGGCAUUGAAGAAAAUAGCUCCUUUUGAAGCAUGGAAUGGAGUUAAACCAAAUGUCAACCAUUUGAAGGUAUUUGGGAGCAUUUGCUACACUCAUAUACCUAGUGUCAAGAGGGAUAAAUUAAGUCCUAAGGCUGAAGUAGGAAUUUUGGUUGGUUAUUGUGACAAUGCCAAAGGAUAUAGGGUCUUCAAUCCACAUACCAGAAAAAUGUUGUCCAGCAGGGAUAUCAAAGUUGAUGAGAGCUCAUCAUGGAAUUGGGAAGAAAAUGUGGUUGAUAAAUCUCAAACUCCUAAGCUUAUGGUUCAAAAUGAUGACACUACCACCAAUGAUGUUGAACCAAAUGAAGCUAAACCAGAAGCACAACCAGAUGGUGGAUCAGAUUCAGAAAAUGAAGUAUUGAGAACUAGAUCCCUUGCUGAUAUAUAUGCUAGGUGUAAUGCAGCCAAACUGGAACCUUCAAACUUCAAUGAGGCUGUGAACUCACUUGAUUGGUUGGCUGCAAUGAAGGAAGAGAUUGGGAUGAUUGAGAAAAAUGGAACUUGGGUGUUAGUUGACAGACCAAAGCACAAAAAUGUGAUAGGAGUGAAGUGGGUGUUCAAGACCAAACUGAACUCCGAUGGUUCAGUCAACAAGUUCAAAGCAAUGCUAGUUGUAAAGGGUUAUGCUCAAUAAUAUGGAGUUGAUUAUACUAAUACUUUUGCACCUGUAGCAAGGUAUGAAACUAUUAGACUCCUUUUGGCAAUAGCUGCACAAAGAGGCUGGAGCAUUCAUCAUUUGGAUGUCAAAUCAGCUUAAAUGGAUGGCUAGAUGAGGAGAUAUAUGUUGAACAACCAGAUGGAUUUAUUGUUAAUGGAAAUGAAGAUAAAGUGUAUCUUUUGAAGAAGGCCUUGUAUGGUUUAAAAUAGGCACCAAGGGCCUGGUAUAGUCGAAUAGAUGAGCAUCUAUGCUGCCUUGGUUUUAUCAAGAGUGUAAAUGAAUAAACACUCUAUAUAAAGCAAGUGGAGGAAGAAGUUACUGUCAUUUCUUUAUAUGUUGAUGAUCUGCUGGUGAUUGGAAGCAAUCAACACUCAGUUGACAUUCUGAAAGGUGAGAUGAAAGAGGCUUUUGAGAUGACAGAUUUGGGGAAAAUGAAAUAUUUCCUUGGAAUGGAAAUAAAUCAAACCGAUAAUGGAAUUUUUGUAAGCCAAGGGAGAUAUGCUGAGGAAGUUUUAAAGAAGUUUAGCAUGGAAAAUUGUAAAUCAGUAAGCACUCCCUUGAUUCAAAACGUAAAGCUAAUGAAAGAGGAUGGCAGCAAGAUGACUGAUGAAAAAAUGUAUAAAAGUCUGGUAGGAUGUCUUUUGUACCUAACUCUCACAAGACCAGACCUCACAUUUGCUACCAACUUUGCUUUCCAGAUACAGACAAGAGCCAACUGAUCAACACUUUCAAGCUGCCAAAAGGGUUCUCAGGUAUAUCAGAGGAACAACAGGUUUUGGAAUCUGGUUUAGGAGGUCUAAGAAUUGUGUUUUGAUAGGCUAUACUGACAGUGAUUGGGCCGGAUCAUAUGAUGAUAUUAAGAGCACAUCGGGGUAUGUAUUCUACCUGGGAUCAAGUCCAGUUUGCUGGAACUCCAUCAAGCAAAAAAUCGUGGCGCAAUCAACAGCUGAAGCAGAGUAUGUGGCUGCUUCUGAAGCUGCAAACCAAGCAAUCUGGUUAAGGAAAGUUCUUGAGGAUUUGAACCAUAAACAAGCUGAAGCAACUGUGAUCCAUUGUGACAAUCAAUCUGCAGUUGCUAUGGUUAAAAAUCCAGUUUUCCAUGGUAGAACAAAACAUAUCAAGAUAAGGUACCAUGCUACUAGAGAAGCUCAAGAGAACUUUGAAGUGAAGAUGGUACAUUGCAAUUCAAAAGUCCAAUUUGCUGAUAUUCUAACUAAAAGCCUGUCAAAAGAAAGGUUUGAAAUACUAAGGAAAUGUCUUGGUGUUUCCAACAAAAGUGUCAAGGAGGAGUGUUGAUAUUUAUUUGUCACUUUUGUUGUCAUAUUUUGUAGCACUCUUUAUAUUAAAAGUCAAGUCCAUGUAAUGUUAUUUUUGGUACUUAAUCUACCAUUUACAGCAUGGUUUUUUUAAUCUAUCAAUAAGUAAGGUGUAGUAAGUAGAAGUGGUUGACUAGAAGUAUGGUUGAAAUCUAUUGUAUUAUAUAUCAGUAUGGCAACUGGUUUUGUAUGUAUGAAGAACUCUUUGUCAUCUGAAAAUAUAUCUAUUUUUCUUCCUCUUUGAAAUAUAUAUCCUUCACAUUCCAUCCAUUCAGUGCUAUCAAAGCUAGCAAUAUUUUGAUUGUAUCAAGUCAUGCUACUGGAGCAAAAGUCCUUGAGAAAUCUACUCCAAACACUUGAGCAUAUCCUUUCACAGCUAAUCUGGCUUUGCAUUUGUUUACAGAACCAUCUGCAUUAAAUUUGGUUCUAUAAAUCCAUUUAACUUGUAUAGGCUUUUUGUGUUGAGGUUUGGCUACCAACUUCUUGGUAACAUUAUUUUCAAUCAUUCUGAGCUCCUCUUUCAUUGUUUCAAUCCACUUGUCAUCCUUCUCCACCUCCUUAAACUCUGGAGGCUCAAAAAUAGCAAUAUUACAUCUUUCAUAAAUAUCAUAUAAUAACCUUGUACCUCUGACUAGUUCAUCAUCUAUGUUAUCACCAAUGCUUUGUCAAAUUUCUGACUGUUGCUUCUCUAUUGACCCCUCACAAUUCCAUUGUCUAUCUUCCAUGAACUUGACAUCUCUACUUACAAGAAUUUUUCCAUUUUGAGGUUGUAAAAUCCUGUAAGCUUUGGAUGAGCUGCUAUAUCAAUAAAAACUUCCGAUUUUGUCUUCUUGUCAAGUUUGUCUCUUUUCACCCGUGGCACAUAAGAAAAACAGAGGCAACCAAAAGUUCUUAAAUGUUGCAAGUCUACUUUUUAACCAAACCAAGCUUCAAAUGGAGUUUUUUCUGCAGAACUUUGGUUGGCAGUCUAUUCAGUGAAAAAGCAAAAAAUCUACAGUGUUUGCGGCUUCUGCCCAUAGUUUCUUUGGUAACUCAUUUUUAUGCAGCACACACCUUGUAAUUUUCAUAAUGCUUCUGUUUUUCUUUCACUUUUAACGUUCUGUUGUGGAAUGUACGAUGUUGAGAACUGAUGUUCAAUACCUACUUUGUCAUAGAAUUUUUUGGAACUAUCACAAGUGUAUUCCUUUCCAUUAUCUGACCUUAUUAUCUGCAUCCUGCAACCACUUUGAUUCUCCACCCAUGUUUUAUAAGUCCAAAAUACAUUAGCAACCUCAAAUUUAAAUUUGAUCAAUAAAUGCAAUAUAGUAGUAUUUCCAUUUAAAGAAUAUGUUUUUGAGGUUUUCCAACAUCUGUGUGUAUUAGUUGAAGCUUGCGUGUUGCUCUCCACGUAGUUUGAGACAAAGGUCUUCUAAUUUGUUUGCCAUAUUAACAAGCCACACAAUCAAAUAAUCUAUCUUCCAGCACUGGUAGCCCUUCACCAGAUUGUGUUUCUGCAUAUAUAGAAGUCCAGUAUGAUGGAAAUGCCAUAAUUCUUCAUUGCUUGCCCUACUUGGAAAUGCUAUUUGCUCAUCCUCCAUUAGAUUCAAAGAAAAACUUUUUGCUCUCAUUUUUACCUUAAAUACAUCUCUACUUUUUGCAUCUUUGAUCAUGCACCAUUUAUCAUCAACUAUGACAUUGAAACUUUUCUCAAUCAGCUGUCCAACACUAAGCAGGUUUUGGUCAAUGUCGAGUACAUAUAAAACAUCAGUGAUAUACUUCAAACCUGAUAAACUUUUUAUAGCCACGGUUCCUUUGCCCUUGACUGAUAUUCACCAUUUCUAGUUUUUACUUUGGAAAUAAUAGCUUUGUCAAGCUCGUUGAAGAGCUCCCGGUCAUUGGUCAUAUGGUGUGUGCAACCAUUAUCAAUCAACCAAGAUCACUAGAGCUAUUGCUUAUUGCAAAACAUGUUACAACAAACAGCUACUCCUCUUGAUGUUCCUCAACAACAACAUUUACUUUACCUUCGUGCUGUUGUGACCUGCAGAUCCUCUGCAUGUGUCCAGUUUGUUCACAUUUCCUGCAUUUGAUGUCAGGUCUCCACGAGCACUUUCUUUGAGGAUGUUUUGUUUUCUUGCAAUAUGGACAUGAUGGAUAAGUCUCCUCUUUCUUGGCUUCCAGCUUGUUGAAUUUUCUGGUUUCUUGUUGUAUUUUUUGUUAUAUUUCUUGUCUUUGCCUUCUCUUGAGUUUUGUGCUUUUGCAUGAAAAACACCUUGCACAGUUUCCUCUUGUCUCAUCAAUCUACUUUGCUCUAGUGCCUGCAAGACAUUCACUAAUUCUUCCAAGGAAAUGGUUGAUAAGUCCUUUGACUCUUCUAAUGAGAAUAUCUUGGACUCAUAUUUUUCAGGCACGAUGACAAGUACUUUUUACACAAUUCUUUCAUCAGGAAAAUCCUUACCAAGCAGCCUUACCUUAUUUACAAUGUUCGGAAACUUUUCAGCAUAAUCUUUGAUGUUUUGUGUCUCCUUCAUUCUCUACAUUUCGAAUUCUCUAAUCAAGUUAAGCACCUACAUGCUUUUGGUUCUUUGGCUGCCUUUGUAUUCUGAUUUGAGAUAAUCCCAUAUGUCCUUUGCAGAUUCCAUUUUCAUGAUCCUCGUCAUUAUUGAGCUUGAUACAGCAGAGAAUAGGCGGAUUUUAGCUUUAGACUUCCUUGUCUUUUUUUCUGUGUGAAUCUUCAUUUGAGUCAUCGUAGGAUUUGCAGGUAGUGGAGGAAUGUCUUAAUCUUCCUCUACAACCUCCCAAAGAUCUAAUGCUUAAAGAUAAACUGUCAUUCUUACAAUCCAAGCUGGUAAUUAUCACCAUCAAAAACUGGUGGUGCAAUAUGUGAGAAAUUAAUGUCUCGAAUUCCAUGCUUGGCAAGUGUUUAUGUUUCAGGUUUUGUGUCUGUGAACUUACUUAACUCACAAAUCCCUCAAAAAAAUUGCUCUGAUACCAAUUUGUUGUUAUUUGAACAACAAAAUAGAAGAAAACAAAAAGACUGCAGGGAAUUUUUUUCUUAUUCAUUUCAUAACUCUUAAAUAGAGUUCUAUUUAACAGAAACACUAACAAUAUUCCUAAAAUCAAGCCAAUGAAUUCAAAAAUAAAACAGUAAUAACAAAAUCCUAUAAUCUUGGUCUUUUAACAGCUAUCAUACUUAAUUCACGAUAUAAGUUGAAAUGAUUCGAAUUAUCUUAGGAACAUAUAUGGUCAUUCUUCUGUACUGCAAUAAUAAAUCAUGUUGCAGGGCUUCGAGCCAAGUUUCUAACACAGAUUUCUACACACUUCAAAUCACAGAGAUGCUAUAGAAUUUCUUGGAGAAGAACCAUUCCUUUAUCUCCCUUCUUCAUGAAGCAUAAGCAAUGGUUCAGAAACAUCAAAAUACAUAUCCAAUGUCCUAUUUUAUUAGGGACUGAAAACCAUAAGUCUCAUUGACUACUUCACAUUUAUGCAUGUGAAAUUCUCAACUGGUUAUAUAUCUGUAGAAUACUGUUGCUCAUCAUCACCCAUUGCGAAAAGUUUGGCUUCCAAAGCCUUGAGAUCUUGAGGAUGCAUAGUCUCUCUUCAAGUUCUGCUAGGGUUAUGUCAUGUACACUCAAGUAGAUAUUGUAUUCCAAAUGCAUAUUUCGUUGAGCUUUUAAUGCAGCUCUUAUAUUUACCCUUGUCAAAGACUCGUCAUCAACUUCAAUCUUGCUGAUUAUACUUCCAUCUAUAUAAACAAAUAGACUAGAACAUCUCUUAUGUACAUCAGGGUUUACAUCUUCGUGUACAUAAUGUCUAAGUGGCAUUUCAUCAUUGGCUGGUGAAUAGUGCUCAAUGCCUAAUUCCAUCUUCUCUAACAUUAGCAGCUUCAUAGCUAACAGGUGUAGAACAUUCCAAAAGGCUUGAAGAGUAGGCUUGGAGUAUAUGGAUUUCUGCAAGCUCUCAUCACAGAAACAAUAGGCCAAUUUCAAUAUCUUAAUAGCAAGUCCUUCCCAGAUAUGAUCAUGGUAAGAGUUUGUGUGCUUGUUAGACCGCAAUAUAUGAUUCAGUUGAGAAGACCACGUGCAAGGUGGUUUAAGGCCAAAUAAUUGGUGAAUUUGCUAAUCAAAUUAGAUAAUAAAUAGUUGAGAAGUAUCAAAAUCCACUCUCAAGGACUGCAUAAAGUAGAAUCACAUUGGUUUUGUAUCAAUGGCGAAUCUAGGAAUUGGAUCCAGCUAGGGCGGUCGUAAUAAUGACAUCGUUUAUUAAAUACGAUCAUGCAUAUUACUAUAUUGUCGAUAUAUUUUUAGAAAUUGUUUCCACCAUCCUUUUUUUUUUUCAAUAGUUACUAUAAAAAAUUGGAAUAUAUUUUCAAUUAGCCAAGAAUAGAUUCCUGGUAUAAUGGACAAGAUUUCAACUUUUGUUCAUUCUUAAUAAACAGAAAAUACAGAUAGGGAGAGUCUGAACUGAAAAUUCCAAGACGCUGGACUCUAAGAAUAAGCUAAGUUCUGGAUCCAAUUCGAAAAAAAGGAAAUACGAAGGCCAAAUUCCCUUUGAAAAUUCUAAGUUCUACCCAUUAUUAAUGUAUUUCAUUCAUAUUCAAAAGCUAUAUAAAAUUUGGGUCCAAAAUUUCCAAAUUGUUUAAUAGGAGGAAUUUCUAUUUUCUUAAGAAAUUAACAUAAAAAUAAAUAAAAAUAAAUAAAUAAAUCAUGCAUUAAGAAAUUAGAUUCCACCAUAAAGCACACACGAGGACUUUAUUGUGAAAUCAUAACUCAUAAAUGAUAAUAAAAAAAUGAAUUAAAAGAACAAAUAGAAGAAGAAGCAGAGAGUCAGAGGUUCAUGACACGAGUCACUGUGAAGAUGACAACCGACAACAGGGCAAAGGUUCAGUGAUAGUGGUGAACGUGCUGCACGCAGUGAUUGGGCAGUGGGAGGAUGAGAGAAACCUUAGUCACCAGUUUGGAAAUUGCAAACUGGAAUAGCCGAACAAUUUGGGACUUGGAUUACGAAUUUAGGUAAAAUGGAUUUAUAUAAAUUCCAAUUGAAGUAGCCUGAUUGUAUUUGGGUCUAAUUCCUUUUUUUUCUUUUUUUCUUUUUUCCCAACAACAUUAGACCCAAAAGAGAAGGUCCAAAAUACUGAAUAAGAAAAAUGGUCCAAUCUUCUUAGUCCUUUCGACUUUCAUCUUCCUUCUUAUUCCAUCAGUGGCGGUUCAGGUUUCUAGCUUCUUCCUGGUCGGCUAGCUUCUUGACAAUGACAGUAGAGUCUGGCGGAGCCAGCACACGCGACCUCCUCCCCUCGCCUAGCGCUAGCUCCACCACUGGCAUCAAGAAAUUGAAUUCCACCAUAAAGCAUACACGAGGCCUUUAUUGUGAAAUCAUAACUCUUAAAUGUAAAUCAAAAAAUUAAUUAAAAAAAAAAGAAAAAAAGAAGAGAGUCAGAGGCUCAUGACACACGAGUCACUGUGAAGAUGGCAACCGGCAACAGGGCAAAGGUUGAGUGUCGGUGGUGAGCACGUUGCACGAAGUGAUAAGGCAGUGAGAGGAUUGGAGAAAGCUCAAUCACCGGUUGGAAAUUGCAAAUUGGAAUAGCCGAACAAUUUGGGACUUGGAUUAGGAAUUUAG